ACAAAGUGACGCCGCUGUCCCCGCUGUCUCCGCAGGCCUGGGACCUGGGCAAGGGGCUGAAGCUGCCGCAGGUGACGCAGUCGGGGCUGCUGGUGCUGGCCCUGACCGUGCUGUCCUCGGCCGCGCUGGCGGCGCUGUGACGGCCCCGAGAUCCCGGAAUCCCAAAAUCCCCAAAUCCCAAAAUCCCGAAAUCCCAAAAUCCCAGGAAUCCCAAAAUCCCCAAAUCCCAAAAUCCCGGGAAUGCCGGAAUCCCGGGAAUCCCAAAAUCCCCAAAUCCCAAAAUCCCGGGAAUGCCGGAAUCCCGGGAAUCCCAAAAUCCUGAAAUCCCAGAAUCCCGGAAAUCCCGGAAUCCCAAAAUCCCGGAAUCCCGAAAUCCAGGAAUCCCAGGAAUCCCAGGAAUCUCGGGAAUCCCGCCCCUCCCAUCCCCCUCCCCAAAAUCCCGGGAUGAGCAGAGCUGCCCCACCCCCCCCACCCGCAGCGAGCCCCUCGGUGUCCCCUCGGUGUCCCCUCGGUGUCCCCACGUGUCCCCGAGGCCGGGACAAUGCGGCAUCUGUGUCCCCACGAGUGGGAUUGGCACCGGGGUGGCACCACAGCGGCACAAGGAGCUCCAUUGAGGCAGCGCCCCACGGGGGUGGGUGACAGGUGACAUCUCAGUGCCACCCCCCUGCCACCCCUG
This 676-nucleotide long non-coding RNA is filed under the name Junco hyemalis (dark-eyed junco). RNAcentral's name for it is "lncRNA (ENSJHYG00000000815.1)". Lineage: Eukaryota; Metazoa; Chordata; Aves; Passeriformes; Passerellidae. The record is from RNAcentral.